GGUAGCUCAGUGGUAGAGCAGACGACUGAAAAUCGUCGUGUCGGUGGUUCGACUCCG
Molecule: transfer RNA, 57 nt
Filed under: Erythrobacteraceae bacterium
Lineage: Bacteria; Pseudomonadati; Pseudomonadota; Alphaproteobacteria; Sphingomonadales; Erythrobacteraceae
Description: tRNA-Phe
Rfam family: tRNA
About the family: Transfer RNA (tRNA) molecules are approximately 80 nucleotides in length.
Source: RNAcentral